Long non-coding RNA from Ricinus communis (castor bean), 634 nucleotides. RefSeq lists it as uncharacterized. The transcript is spliced from 2 exons. Lineage: Eukaryota; Viridiplantae; Streptophyta; Magnoliopsida; Malpighiales; Euphorbiaceae. The record is from RefSeq and is a predicted model, not a curated record.
AUUUUAAUAUGAUUCCACGACCACUUUAGCAUGAUUGUGGUUGCUAAUGUAGACAUAACACCAAUUACGAUUUCCUUUUCUCCAAUUGCAGAUGUAUCAAAAAAUCAAAUCCCUAGCACAUAACUUCCCACAAUUAAACCCUCCUUGCACCACCACUCCUCACCAUUUGUAAUCAUAAUUCCUCCUCCGCUGUUGUCCUCCUUGCACCACCAUUAAAGUCAUCUCUUUUUCUCUAUCUCUGAAGUAAGCCUCCCUCUCUCACACUCUCUUCUUCGUCUGUCUCUCUUUUUCUCUCUCUUUCUCUCUCUCCACCAUUGACUUCUCUCUUUCACUUUCGGGUUUGGUGGUUUGAAGAUCUGAGACAGUUGGAUUGAGCAAAUUGGAUGGGUUUCAGAGGCAAGAAUUAGAUCGUUGUUGUGAGACAGGUAAUCCAUCAAUAGGCUGGAAUAUGUGACCAAGCUUAAUCAAAGACUAGAUAGCAAUAAAGGCCCCCAACACUUUCAAUAAUCUUUUAUAGUUUUGAGCUCAAGAGUUGAAGAGGAAGUUAUCUAAAGAUGGAAUAUGGAUCUAGGGUGUUUAUUGGUUUUGUGCUUGCUUUUGGAAAUUACAAUACGAAAGCCCAAAAUCUUACCAA